RNAcentral lists this transfer RNA (73 nucleotides) under Sphaerodactylus townsendi. Its description in RNAcentral is "tRNA-Ala". The record is from RNAcentral. Lineage: Eukaryota; Metazoa; Chordata; Lepidosauria; Squamata; Sphaerodactylidae.
GGGGUGUGUGAUUCAGUGGCUGAGUAUCUGCCUAGCAUGUAGAAGGUCGCAGGUUCAAUUACCGGCAUCUCCA